GAAUCUUCGGCAAUGGGCGCAAGCCUGACCGAGCGACGCCGCGUGGAGGACGAAGGCCUUCGGGUUGUAAACUCCUGUCGAGGGGGAGAAAGGCUCCGCGAGGGGCUUGAUCGAUCCCUGGAGGAAGCACGGGCUAAGGUCGUGCCAGCAGCCGCGGUAAGACGAACCGUGCGAACGUUAUUCGGAAUCACUGGGCUUAAAGCGCGUGUAGGCGGAUCGGUGCGUCGGCGCCUGAAAUCCCCCGGCUCAACCGGGGAACGCGGCCCGAAACGACCGGUCUGGAGGGGUGUAGGGGGGACUGGAACUUCCGGUGGAGCGGUGAAAUGCGUUGAGAUCGGAAGGAACGCCCGUGGCGAAAGCGAGUCCCUGGACGCCUGCUGACGCUGAGACGCGAAAGCCAGGGGAGCGAACGG
RNAcentral lists this ribosomal RNA (413 nucleotides) under uncultured bacterium. RNAcentral describes it as "bacterial SSU rRNA". It matches the Rfam family "Bacterial small subunit ribosomal RNA", at positions 359 to 775 of the family's 1533-position model. The record is from RNAcentral.